This 392-nucleotide ribosomal RNA is filed under the name uncultured bacterium. RNAcentral describes it as "partial 16S ribosomal RNA". It matches the Rfam family "Bacterial small subunit ribosomal RNA", at positions 523 to 918 of the family's 1533-position model. The record is from RNAcentral.
AUACGGAGGAUGCGAGCGUUAUCCGGAUUUAUUGGGUUUAAAGGGAGCGUAGGCGGGAGCUUAAGUCAGCGGUUAAAUGGUGCGGCUCAACCGUGCCCUGCCGUUGAAACUGGGUUUCUUGAGAGUGCAAGAGGCGGAUGGAAUUCAUGGUGUAGCGGUGAAAUGCUUAGAUAUCAUGAAGAACUCCGAUUGCGAAGGCAGUCCGCUGGGGCACGUCUGACGCUGAUGCUCGAAGGUGCGGGAAUCAAACAGGAUUAGAUACCCUGGUAGUCCACGCAGUAAACGAUGAUAACUAACCGCUGGGCUUAUCAGUUCAGUGGCCAAGCGAAAGCGAUAAGCCAUCCACCUGGGGAGUACGACCGCAAGAAUGAAACUCAAAUGAAUUGACGGGG